UUGUUUACUGUGGCAUUGCACAGGCUGCAGGGUCCAAGACUAGCUGCAAUAAACGGUAAAAACCAAAGGAAACUCUCUAGACCAGGAAAAAUUUUGCGAUAGAAACGUGGUUUUGGCUUUCAAGGAAAGAGGCACUUGACUAGCAUUUUAGCUGGGAUAUUUUGCCCUUGUCCAAGCUCAGCUCUGGAGACUCGCCAUCAGCAUGGAGGAGGUGCCGGGAGCCUGACUGGAGGGUGAGCUACUGCCCAAUGGGAAAGAUCCUGCCAAGUGACCUGGUGUAAACUGCCAGUCUGAGAGGUGUAAUCCUGCAAGCGUUUGAUCCAGUGGCUUUGCUUACACUAUGGAGGCAACUCGUGCGUUGAAAGCUGAAAUUCAGCAGAAGCUGAUGAGACCACCACGGAGAAAUGCUGGUUCACCGCACUGGCUAGUACCAGCUUGAUCUGGCUCUGGCUCUGGGAUGUGCAGCCUACAGACACAAUAAUGAAAAGAAAUAUUCUGAAAAGGAUGAGUCAGCUGGAGGCCGGUGGGGAGAGCGUGCGGGAUCUGACUGGAAUUUAAAAAGUUAUGAGGCUACAUGUUGUUUUGAGCCCUGCCAGUGGAGAAACUCAUACACGCGAAAUGCUUUGUCAUCUGGCAUAAUUAUGUUACUUUGCUGAUUAGCUGGUAAACUCUUUUCAAAAUGUAUUUAGACAAUAGUAAGUUCAUGAAAUAUAAAAACUUCCUGCUGACACCACUGUCAAGGGCCUGCUUUACACUUUAUUGAAAACUGUGUUCCCCAGAACCCCAUCAGACUAUUGAACAGCUGUGAAAUUGUUCUCUUCUGUAUUAGACGAUGUAUCCAUUGAAACAGUUGAGGUAGAUUCACACCUUCAUUUCUGUGCUGUAAGUACCUCUAUGCUGAUGUGAGCUGUGCAUACACCCACAGUCGUGGUGCAAACUGAAUUUCUUGAUUUUUGUAUGUUUGCACUGAUUGGGACAGCAUCAGUUUGGUGUGAAGCUUCUUCAGUCACUCCUCCAUCCAGGUACCAACACAUUCUUCCUGAUUUCACUGGAAAGCAGUGCCUGGUAUUUGGAUAAUUUGCAGGACAGACUACUUUCAAAGAUUUGAGGUUUUGGCUGUAAGGUUUUUCAAAUAAAUGACAUUUAUUUGUUGUGUGAAAAGAUAUACUUUCCAUUCUCUCUUUACAAAGAGCCGAUCUGUCCAGUCCCACUCCCCAAACCUGGCCAGACAAGGGGGGAGAGUCUGUGCUUGUUUCUGGAGCCUGUUCAAGCAGGGGGUGGGGGGGGGGGACUGUGACACUACUGUGACUGGCCACUCUUUGCAACUGCACUAUGUCUGCCUUUCCUGCAUUCCUUCGUCUUUCCUUCCAAGAAGCCUUAUCAUUUACAGAAAUGUUGACAUAAACUGUGCAACUGGUCAUAAGAAAGAUGAGUACCCACUGGUGAGAGUGAGGUGUAACUAAUUUUUACCCUGUCUCAAACAAGUAGGUUCCUUUCUCACGUGUGGAUGAAUGAGACAUCAAUUCAAUCAGACUCAACCAGAACAGGUAACUUCUCAGAGGUUUCCUGUAAUCUUUUAUGGGAAGCAGGGAAGUAUCGACAGAGUUUUUUCACUCUCAUUGACAUGGUGUGAGAUAUUAUUCCCCAGCUGCCUGGGAUGGAUAACAAAGGGCCUGAAGUGGGUUCAGAGCCAGUAGCAGUUUUCACUGAGGGCUUGCAGAGGACCUUUACACUUGGGAAAAGAGGCACCAGUGAGUUUUAGACAAGGCAAUCCAGUUUCAACCCCAGGAAAGUACUGGAGCAAAUAAUCACACAACUAUUUGUAAUCACCCAGAGGGGUAGCUACCAAUGGGGAUUUGUCAAGAAAAAACUAUGCUAAAACACUCCAGUUAUUUUCUACAACAGAGGAAGUCCUAUCAUGCAGAGAGAAGUGGUGGAUGCCUCCAGUUUUCUCUCACUUUAGGAAGGUAGUGCUUCACACGACGUUUUCUUAAGCAAGGUUGGGCAAUGUGGUUCGGAUGAAGUUAGUGUAAGAGAUGCUGUAAAACCACAGAAGCAGCAAGACAGCAGUAACUGAUUCAGUGCUGGUUUGAUCUGGCAGCGAGAUGGGCUCAAGGACAGUCAGCCUUUCAAUCAGCCAGAGCUAAAUUAUCAUUCUUGCCCUGGAUAGUGGAACUGAUAUUACCUAAUUACAGUUUCAGGUGAUCCAAAGCAAAGAGAACCAGUGGCAUGUGGAGAGGUGGGAUGGCAUUCAGGAGGACCAUGCUGGGCUGGAAUAAGCAUGGUUUAAUGCAGGAGUGGGUGAGGGUGUUGCAUCAAGGGAUGGGGUGAAGCACAGACAGAUGGACACUAUGCUUGCAUUUGGACACUGCACUUUGGGAGCAACAGAGAUGCUUGGAGAGACUUCAGAGGUGAGCAGUGAAAAUGAUGAAAGACCUGGAAAAUACAACUUAUGAGGAACAGAUGAAUGACCUGGGGCUGCUAAGCUUAAAAAAGGAGAAAGUGCUAGGGAGGAAGAAAUUAUAACAACUUUCAAGUAUGUUGAAGAUGGUCACAAAGGGGAAGAGAAGGACUUGCUCUCUGUGUUCAUCCUGGGUAGGACAGGAACAAAUGGGCUUAGUGUGCAGCAAAGAGAUUUAAUUAAAACCUAAAGUGAGUCUUCCCUAACAGUAAGACCGAGAUGCCAUGACAGGCUGCUGGAGAGCCAUGGAAUCUGCAGGGACCUAGGGGAUCCUGUCUAGAGGCAGAGGGAUGGUCCAGAUGACUCACUGAG
Tyto alba (common barn owl) is the source of this 2773-nucleotide long non-coding RNA. RefSeq lists it as uncharacterized. The record is from RefSeq and is a predicted model, not a curated record. NCBI's taxonomy places the organism in Eukaryota, Metazoa, Chordata, Aves, Strigiformes, Tytonidae. The transcript is spliced from 3 exons.